AUCCGUCUCUGCGCCUCCCGAUAGCGCGGCCCGCAAGACCCGGCCCGGAUUAUGGAGCUGGAGCGGAGCGGAGUCGCUUCUGCGCCUCCCGACGGCGCGGCCCAAGACUGCCCUUUGCAUUCCGGCGCGGUGUCUGCGCGGGCUGCGGCGCUCGGCGCUGACGGCGGCCGGUGUGGGCUGCAGCUCGGCCCGGGACUUCCUCGCGGGCGGCGGGGCGGCGAGCGCACAUCCCACAGAUCUCCUCCCCUGGCUUCCCCGGAAGCUCGGCGCGGCCGGCCGAGGCGAGCGUGCUAGCAGCCGUUGAGGAGGCGGCGGCGGCCCGCGCCUCAGGAAGGGCAUGUUCGUGAGCGGAGGGGCGCGCCCCCCGCCGCCCCAGCGCCCCCUCCCCACGGCCGCCGCCGCGCCCGCGCCUCGAUAAAAGGGCGGCCGCGCUCCUUGCCAAGAGACCCAGAACGAUGACACGGCGGGCGGCUCGUUGACAAGAUCGUGCCCGUCCGCCAGCGUGUCCGCCAUGGGCUGCGCCCCGAGCGCCCGCGUCUGUGAGGGCCGGGGGGGCUGCGCGGCGGCAGGAAGGAGCCGCAGGACGCGCCGCUGAGGUCGUCCGGCCCGAGGACCGGCGGCGCCCUGCCCCGGCCCGGCAACACUGGCCCCGCAGAGCCGGAGCCUCGCGACGGCGGCGCCACGAAGAGCCUCCUCUCCAAAUGGUGAUUCAGGGGCCAUCUUUGACCCAUGAGACCCAAGGCAACCAUGCUGGCCUGCGAGGACAAGCUCACAGAAACGGAAAGAGCCUGGAGGGUCACAGGUAAGAAGAUUUUCAGGGCCAAGUCUGGAAGUGGUACAUCCAUGACAGCUUGUUUACAUUCUGUCAGUCAUGAGGCCACACCUAACUUCACCAAAGGCUGAGAAAUGUGACCUGGCUGAGUGUCCAGGAAGAGAGGAACUGAAUUUGAACAGUUAUCCAGUCUCUGCCACACGCUUUGGUGACAUUUGUUAUUUUCUCCCUAUUUCCCUUCCCUUGCAUAAUAGCUGUUUGGUUGGUAUUGAGUCCACUCUCAGCUCCAUGGUGGGCCCCACACUCUCCUUGCAGCAGUUGUUAGUUCAGUAAUAGUUGUAUAACCCAGGCUUAAUCCAGGCAGAGGGCAUAGAAUGCUUCUGGUCUCAGCUACUAGUCCAGGGGCAGGCAUGUGAUGUAAAGUGUCCCAAUCACUGUGACUGGGGGAAAAUACCAACCACUACCUCCUCGCAGGGAGAGCAGAGUCAGCUCGUGGAGGACAAACUUGGAGGAUUCCUGAGUCACACAGAGCUGGAGUCCUGUUGAAAUUCCUUGAAGCUGACAAGAUCUGAUGCUGUGCAAGCUAUUAAAUCCACUUCAUCACAUAAUAAUCAGAAGUUAAUUAAAAAAAAAAGAUAAUUCUGCUGGGGAUUUAGCUCAGUGGUUCCACCGCCUGCCUUGCAAGCGAAAGGACCCGAGUUCGAUCCCCGGUACCAAAAAAAAAGAAGUAAAUUUUCUUACAACCAAAAGCAUUCUGAUUGAUAAACUUAUAAAAUGGAAAGGAAAUGAAGAGAGAAAAGAUAGAAGCUGGAUCUCCAAGUUCUGUUUCCUGCCAUUGCUAAUUUUUCUGUGAUGUGUUUUGAAUACCCAAGCAUUACAUCAGAGGUCAUUAGAUUUUUAACAUUCUUCUUUUUUAAAGCUCCAAGUAUAUACAAACUGUGGCCUGCAGGAUGCUUGCUUGCUCUCUCGCUCUUUCUCUCUCUCUCUCUCUUUUUGGUACUGGGGAUCAAAUUCAGGACUUUGUGCUUGCCAGGCAGGCGCUGUGCUGCUGAGCUAAAUCCCCAGCCCUCCAUCUCUCUCUCUUUUUUAAUGUUAUAAUAGCAAAUAUAAAAAAAGGAAGUUUUGUUACUUAUAUAUAUUAACCAUAAUAUACAUUUUAUAUAUUUAAACAAUUCCUGUUCAACCAAGCCAAAUGGUUGGACAGGCCUGCAUGAUUUCUUCCUGAACUGAAUGAUAUAUAGUUCUUUUGAAGAAUAAAAAUUUAUUUCUCUUUCAUCCAAAUGAAUGAAACAUAGCCAUAUAAUGUCUUUUCUAUAUUUAUUUUUAGCACCUUUAGCUUUUUCAUCAAGCAAGUACACAAAAUAAAUUUAUCAUAUACAUUGAAGAAUGUGUUUUGUUUAUAGCUGGGCAUUAUCUCUGAUACUAGUAAAGGAAUUUUCUGUUUUUGAGUUGAAUGUUCCAAACUCUUUGGAAUAGUUUGUCACGUUUGGUGAUUUUAAAUUUCCUAGCACCUCCAACUUGAGCAAAAUGCCACAUGGCAUUCCUGAGUGAACAUUUUGAAAGAGUUGUGUGGCAUCCAGUGAGGCAUUUGGAAGUCACCUGGUAAGUAUGUAGGGACUGUUGGACAAGAAUCUCAUUUGCACAAUCAGAAGCCCUUGGCUCAGCACACAGACACCUCAUAUACCUGUGGUUGCAAAUGUAAGCCAUUGAAGUCCCCAGCCUGACUCACCCUCUCAGAAUAUGGAGAGUAGCAUAGGGGUGACAACCUCAGCAACCUCAUCUCGAAAAGGGUUUGAAGUAAUUUAAAGAAUACUUAGGGUAGGAUAAAAAAUGGAGAAGAGAAUUGGGCCAAAGAAACACAAGAGUGACUUAAUAAUCAGCUGAGCUGGAGUCAAAGAGGUAUAUGGAAGUGCAUGCCACCCAGCUGGGCAUUGUUGGCCCAGGGGCCUGGGCUUCACAUUGGGCUCUGAGCUUCCCACAGCCUCACUGAACAGGAAAACUAGCUGUGACUCAGGAGGAGUUCAAAUUUCUGAGCUGAAAGAAACUGCUCUCCUAGAUCCCUUUUGAGGGCCAAGACUCUCAAGAAUGUUCCCCUAAUAAGUGUAGUGUGCAUAUGAGGACAGGAGUGACUGGGGUCAUAGAGAAAGCAUGUAGGCAGCACUUGGUGUCCAGCUGUGGGACAUUGUGUUUUGCACACCAUUCUGUAAGGUCAUGUGAUCUUUUUUUUUUUAUUACCAAUGCUGGUCCUCCCUUGUGUGGGGGGCCUAAUGUGGACAAUUGCAUUGAUCUGGUUUUGGAGUUUUGCAUUUUGCAGAAUGUUUACUAGCUAGAGGCAAAGCAGAUGAAAGAGCAAGCGUAGGGGGUGGGAUGACAGAAGUAAUAAGCCUUAGAGGGGAUGAGGGCCCUAGGAGAACAGGUGAGAUAUGGGCCUGGAGGCAUCAGUCACCACAGUGGGCUGAAGUUUACUUGCUUAGCACAGUGCCCAAUAGGUGGAUUGAGUCAGUGUGUGGUAGUGAAGACUGCAGAAGCAGCCAACCACGAAAGUACAGGAACAGCUAUAGCUGAUCUAUGCUGUCAGAAGUCAGCACAGUGGUACUGGGAACGGGUACUGGGCACAUCUAGUGUGCUGCUCACAUUGCAUCUUGAGCUGAUACUGGCUGUACAGGUGUAUUCAGUUUGGGACGAUGUGUCUGUUAGUACACUUGUAUGUGCUUUUGUCUGAGUGUGUUCAGUGAAAUGUUUGAAAGAAAGUAUGUACUUCAGUGCCAGGCCACUUGUUUUCACACCCCAGUUCUGCCACUUUAUAGCAAUGGGACAUUGGGCAAAUUAUGUAACCUCGUUGUGCCUCAGAUUUCCAUUCAGUCAAACAAGAAUAAUAAUGCUUAGCUGGGUGCAGUGGUGCACUCUAUAAUCCCAGCUUCUCAAGUUUGAGGCCAGCCUGGACAACUUAGCAAGACCCUGUCUCAAAAUAAAAAAUAAUAUAUGAAUAUAAGUAUCAUGCAUUAACCAAUUGUAGCACUGGAGCUCCUAUAUAUAAAUAAAAAGGGCUGGGGAAGUAACUCAGUGGUAGAACAUUUGCCUGGCAUGUGCAAACCCCUGAGUUUAAUCCCCAGUACCUAAAUAAAUAAAGAAAAGGCUAGGAUGCAAUUCAGCAGCGCCACACCUGCCUAGCAAGCACAAGGUCCUGAGUUUGGUCUCUGGUACCAGGGAAAAAAAAGAACAAAAGAAAAUAACAUGUAUCAAAGAAGUACCUGAGGAUUGAAUGAGUCAGUACUUGCCAAGUACAUGAGUGUCUCUAGUAAAUAGUAAACAUUCCCUGAGAAUUACCUGUUACUUGUUACUUCUGUUAAUUAUUAUUAUUAUAAAUGAGAAUUGUAUGAGGGAAAACUGAAGAAUUGCUUGUGGACAUUCUACAAAAUGAUAUUCUGAGUGUGGCCAUGCAGUUGUGUCUGGAGUGGAAUGGGAUUGGAUUGCAUGUCUUAGAGUUCAAGCAGGGGAACUGGGAGGGAGUGGUGUUGCCAUAUUGGCCUUAGUGUUGUCCACGUGAUGGCAGGGGAGGACUUGGGGUGGUGAAGACUGAACUUGAGGGACUGAGAUUCUUGUUGUUCUUUGCUUUUUGAGACAGGGUCUCACUAUGUAGUUCAGGCUGGCCUUGAACUCAUUGUGUAGCCCAGGGUGGCAGGGAACUCAGGGUGAUCUUCCUACCUCAGCUUCCAGAGUGCUGGGAUUACAGGCAUGCACCCCACCCCAGGCACUGAGAUUCUUUUUUCAAAAUUUAUAUAUUAAUUGAUACAUUUUAGGUGUACAGUACAUUUACACUUAUCAUUGCGUGUUUGUACCUGAACAUGAUGUAUCUUAGUUCUUAUUUUUCCCCCAUUACCUAUGUGCCUUUCACCCCCACCACCCUUCCCUAUUUACAUAGACUUUGUUUCCAUUUUUUUUUCUUUCUCAUAAUUUUUCCUUUCCCUUCUUCCCUUUCCCCUUCUCCUCCUGCCACCCCUACACCUUUGGACCUUUUCCUACGUCAAAUUAUCAAUUAUUCAUUUUAAUAAUUUUCAUCCUUAUUUACACUUUCAGUUUCUCACACUAGAGAAACUAUUCGGUAUUUACACAUGUGUGUCCU
Heterocephalus glaber (naked mole-rat) is the source of this 4895-nucleotide long non-coding RNA. The record is from Ensembl. Lineage: Eukaryota; Metazoa; Chordata; Mammalia; Rodentia; Bathyergidae.